AGUGAGCGCUGGCGGUAGGCCUAACACAUGCAAGUCGAACGGCAGCACAGUAAGAGCUUGCUCUUCCGGGUGGCGAGUGGCGGACGGGUGAGGAAUAUAACGGGAUCUACUUUUUCGUGGGGGAUAACGAAGGGAAACUUACGCUAAUACAGCAUACGCCCUUCGGGUGAAAGCAUGGGAUCUUCGGACCUUGCGGGGAUGAAUGCGCCGAUGUUGGAUUAGCUAGUUGGCGGGGUAAUGGCCCACCAAGUCGCGGAUCCGUAGCUGGUCUGGGAGGCUGAUCGGCCGCACGGGAACUGAGCCACGGACCAGGCGCCUACGGGAGGCAGCAGUGUGGAAUAGGAGACAACAGGCGCAAACCUUGUCCAGCCAUACCACGUGUGUGAAAGAAGCCUUCGGUGUGUAAAGCCCUUUUUUUGGGUAAGAAAAGCAGCAGGUUAAUACCCCGCUUUUCUGACGGUACCCAAAAAAUAAGCACCGGCUAACUUCGUG
Molecule: ribosomal RNA, 492 nt
Filed under: uncultured bacterium
Lineage: Bacteria
Description: partial 16S ribosomal RNA
Rfam family: Bacterial small subunit ribosomal RNA
Source: RNAcentral